CUUUAAUUCAAGGUUAAAAUAUUUUGAAGAAUUGACUACUAUUCUGUUUUAAAUCAUACAGAGGUAAUUGUGGGCGGCUCCCUGGAGGCCUCAGAGGACAUCUCUGCGAGCUGCCACUGGGCAGUCAGCAGCAGUGAAGAGGGACCUGGGAGGCUGAACGCAGAGAUAACGUUGUCCGCAGUGUUCUCCAACUCAGCUCAGGAGACACGGAACUGAGCUGAAAUUAGGCCGCCAAAUAAACGGAAGGAGUUAUGUUCUAUUUAUCAUCAUUUUCUCCCCUUAGUACAAGAUAUAAACUAUUUUGAAAAAAAU
RNAcentral lists this long non-coding RNA (312 nucleotides) under Cavia porcellus (domestic guinea pig). RNAcentral's name for it is "lncRNA (ENSCPOG00000038408.1)". Lineage: Eukaryota; Metazoa; Chordata; Mammalia; Rodentia; Caviidae. The record is from RNAcentral.